GUUCUUAUCCUUUUGUCCCUACUAAUGAUCAUACAUUCAUAUGUGUCUGUCUCCCACUAUCAUCACUAUACAUCCCCUUCUCAUUCCCAUGUGACCUCCACGUGAUCAUCAUCUACUUUUCCCACCUCUCCAUGCUAAUAUUGCUACCUACACCUUUUCAUUAUUUGAUAAGAUUUGGUGCUUUCCUGUCUCAAUUUCUUCUUUCUUAUAUACUUCUCAAGUUUGAACAAAUUUAUUACUCUCAUCUCUUCUUUAAUAUUCAAACAAAACGGUUUAUUUUGUUAUAUAAUAAAUAAUUUAUUUUUCUUGAUAACUUUCUUUAUUGUUUAUGAUUGUGCCUUAUUAUUAUUAUUAUUCUGUAUCUAAUUUGUGCCCUUCAAAUUGGUGAGAGUGACAUGUUGUGGGGAACCCUUCCCUUCCCUUCCAGAAAGCAAAGUGGUAUGCAAGUUGGACAUACAGAUAAGCUGUUAGGUCAAUUUUAGAAGUGAUUCAAGGUUCUUAUCCUAUGCUGCUAUAGAUAUCUUUUUCUUUUUUCACAAAAUUUCAGAUCCAAUAUCUAGGGUAUCAAUUUUCAUUUUUUAGAUAUUUUAUGUUAGAUAAGAAAAACCAUUAUGAACUCUUUGAUUUAAUGCUUUUGAGUUUAAGAAACUUUUUUGGCCAUGCAAUGAAAUUUUGAAGCAGUAUGGGAAGCAACAGAACCAUUGUUUGGUUUAGAAGGGACCUAAGAAUUGAGGACAACCCUGCACUAGCUGCAGCUGCAAGGGAUGGUUCUGUAUUCCCUGUGUAUAUAUGGUGUCCUAAAGAGGAACAACAAUUUUAUCCAGGAAGAGUUUCAAGGUGGUGGUUGAAACAGUCUCUUGUUCACUUGGAUCAGUCCUUGAAAUCUCUUGGAGCUAGACUUGUGUUCAUCAAAACUGAUAGUACUCUCAAUGCUCUUUUGGAGUGUAUAAAUGCUAUUCAAGCUACAAAAGUAGUGUUUAAUCAUCUCUAUGACCCUGUUUCGCUUGUUCGCGACCACAACAUCAAAGAAAAACUAGUGGAACUUGGCAUAUCUGUGAAAAGCUACAAUGGAGAUCUUUUGUAUGAGCCUUGGGAAGUCUACAACGACAAGAGACAUGCUUUUACAACCUUCAAUCCUUUUUGGCAGAAAUGCUUGCACAAGCAAAUGGAACCUGUUUCACUUAUCCCUCCAUGGCAAUUAAUUCCAGCUGAAGGAAAAGUUGAGAAAUGUUCAAUAGAGGAUCUAGGUCUCGAAAAUGAAUUAGAAAAACCAAGCAAUGCUUUACUAGGACGAGCGUGGUCUCCAGGUUGGAGCAAUGCUGACAAGGCUUUAACAGAAUUUAUGGACAAGCAUCUACUUCACUACUCGAUGAAUAAGCAAAAGGUUGGUGGAGACUCCACCUCACUCUUGUCCCCGUAUCUUCAUUUUGGAGAGUUGAGUGUGAGGAAAGUUUUUCAAACCGCACGUGUGAAGCAGAUAUCGUGGGCAAAUGAAGGCAACAGUGUUGGUGAAGAAAGUGUUACUCUUUUCCUCAGGGCAAUUGGACUUAGAGAGUAUUCGCGUUAUCUUUGUUUCAAUUUUCCCUUCACUCAUGAGAGAGCACUUCUUGGGCACUUGAGUUUUUUCCCUUGGAAUGCUGAUCCUGCUAACUUUAAGACUUGGAGGCAAGGUAGGACAGGAUAUCCUUUAGUUGAUGCAGGAAUGAGAGAACUUUGGGCUACAGGAUGGAUGCAUAACCGAAUAAGAAUAAUAGUUUCGAGUUUUGCUGUGAAAAUGUUGCUUCUACCUUGGAAAUGGGGAAUGAAGUAUUUCUGGGACACACUUUUGGAUGCUGACCUUGAAUGUGAUAUCCUUGGCUGGCAGUAUAUCUCAGGAGGCUUACCAGAUGGUCACGAGCUUGAGCGCUUGGAUGAUCCUGAGAUUUUAGGAGCUAAAUUUGACCCAGAAGGAGAAUAUGUAAGGCAAUGGCUACCUGAGUUAGCAAGGAUGCCAACUGAGUGGAUCCAUCAUCCUUGGAACGCACCACUUAACGUGCUUAGAGCAUCAGGAGUUGAGCUGGGUCAAAACUAUCCAAAGCCAAUAAUUGAUAUAGAUUUGGCCAGAGAAAGACUAACUCAAGCCAUAUUCAAGAUGUGGGGAGCCGAGGCAGCAGCAAAAGCUGGUAGCUCAGAUGCAAGGGAUGAUGAAGUUGUUGUUGACAACUCCCACAGUAUUGAAAAUCUAGACAUUCCAAAAGCUGUGUUUCAAGGCAAGGCUCCAUGUGCUUCUAUUUCAGCUAAUGAUCAGAAGGUGCCAGCCCUUCAGGCUGUUCAGGAUCCCAAGAAUGAGUUACCUAUUAGGAAAAGAAGAAAAUGUAUGGAAGAGAAUGGAAAGAAUCUUGAAAAUUCAGUAAAUCAUGAAAAUGAUAGUAGGGUGUCAAACGCUGACCAAGACACUUGUUCUACAGCUGACUCUUCUUCAAGUAAGAAACAGUGUUCUACAAGCACUUACUCUUUUUCUGUUCCACAACAGUGUUCCUCAUCUUCAAAUCUAAAAUGGCCAUGGCAAGAGCAGGUUGACAUGGAGCAGAGUUCAGGGAAAGAUGGCGCAACAGGAGGUUAAUGCUGUCCUUAUUUAUAAAUCUAGUAGCAGCUGCAAUGCUUCUCAGAAAAUGAAUAUCACCAAUGUUAACGACAAGAGAUCCGUACACCGGAGGAACAUCAACCCAUCGAUUCUGAUGAAGAACUUGAAGACCACCAAUCUGGUCUUGCAGAAGAAUUGUCAUGAAAUCACUAUCAGUGUGCUUGGAAGUGCCCAUAGUUAAUUCAGGUUCAGGGCAUGCAGGAUAGUAGUGACCCAGAAGAAAUUGUCCUUCUUCUGAGACUAAUUGUUUGAGGUAACAAGACUCAAGGCCUAAAGCUUCUGAGAAUAGCUCAAAGAUUGUAAAGCCUAAGGCUCUUACUUUCUUUGAAUAUUCAAUCACAAUGUCUCUGCGAAUGCAAUUAUACAAACUUGACUUGUGAGUCAAGGAAGGCCUCCUAUUUAUAAACACAUUUUCAAACUAUAUUUUAUAUGAUGUAAAACUCUCAACAAUCAUUAAUUAGUAUCAUUUUUGGUACAA
RNA transcript from Cicer arietinum (chickpea), 3101 nucleotides. It is a transcript of the gene named cryptochrome-1-like, with no coding region annotated. Lineage: Eukaryota; Viridiplantae; Streptophyta; Magnoliopsida; Fabales; Fabaceae. The record is from RefSeq and is a predicted model, not a curated record.